UGGGGAAUCUUGCGCAAUGCGCGAAAGCGUGACGCAGCAACGCCGCGUGCGGGAAGACGGCCUUCGGGUUGUACACCGCUUUCAGUUGGGACGAAGGUCCGCGGGUUAAUAGCCUGCUGGACUGACGGUACCUUCACAAGAAGCACCGGCUAACUACGUGCCAGCAGCCGCGGUAAUACGUAGGGGGCAAGCGUUGUCCGGAAUCAUUGGGCGUAAAGCGCGUGUAGGCGGCUUGUUAAGUCCGCUCUGAAAGUCCAGGGCUCAACCCUGGAAUGCGGGUGGAUACUGGCAAGCUUGAGUCCGGAAGAGGCGAGUGGAAUUCCUGGUGUAGCGGUGAAAUGCGCAGAUAUCAGGAGGAACACCAAUGGCGAAGGCAGCUCGCUGGGACGGUACUGACGCUGAGGUGCGAAAGCGUGGGGAGCAAA
Molecule: ribosomal RNA, 425 nt
Filed under: uncultured bacterium
Lineage: Bacteria
Description: bacterial SSU rRNA
Rfam family: Bacterial small subunit ribosomal RNA
Source: RNAcentral